Monodelphis domestica (gray short-tailed opossum) is the source of this 983-nucleotide long non-coding RNA. RefSeq lists it as uncharacterized. The record is from RefSeq and is a predicted model, not a curated record. Lineage: Eukaryota; Metazoa; Chordata; Mammalia; Didelphimorphia; Didelphidae.
CACUGGGAACCCCGCUGGGCAGCUCCCAUUGGCUGAGCCUGCGGACCCCACCUAGAAUCUGGGGGCGGGGUUCGCUCGCCCAUGGACCAAUUACAGAUGGAGGCGGGGCGAGAGUGGGGAGGGUAGGAGAGAGGCUGGAGCAGGCCAGCUUCCUCCUUGCAGUAGGUUACUGAGGGGGAUUCAGAAGCUCCAGUGUUGCGGGGACCUCCGACCUGGGUGGUAUACAGAAAGGCCUAAACUUUGGAGUGUCAAUAUUUUGUCCAAAGCAAAAGAGCGAGUAGGUCUCUAGGGACUGAAGACUGUGUCAGCUCAAACCCAGGAUGCAUCUACCUUAAGAGUUUCAGUGCCAAUUGAGGCCCAACCAUCAUCUCUGCUUGGGGGAGGAGGAACAAGGGAUCACCCUCUGACCAUUUAGAAGGAUAAAUUUAGCACUACAGGAGAUAAUAAAUUUAUGGGAUCAUCAGAAAUAGCUACUAAAGAAAGCUGGGAUAUAAUAAUGAAAGAACAUUUUAAGGUUUGCACAGCAUUCUGUCUACUUCAUUUCAUCUCACUGGACCCUGCCAACAAUCCUGAGAGAUAGGUGCUAUGCUAUUAUUAUUGUUAUUAUUAUUAAUCAGCCCAUCAACAAACAUUUAAGAACUUACUGUGCUCUAAUCAGUAUGCUAAGCAAUUGGGAUUAAAAAUAAAAAAGCAAAAGCAAAAGACAGUCCUACCCUCAAGGAACUUCCAAUAUAAUAGGGGAGACAUUAAGCAAACCAGGUGUACAAACUAACAGAGGGAAAGGACUAAAGUGAAGGGGAAUUAGAGAAGGCAUUAUUAUUUUACUAAUGAGGAAAUGGGUUCAGAGAAAUUUCAUAACUUGCUAAUUGUACAUAGCUUGUAAGUAUCUGAGUUUCAUGACCAUAUUCAACCUCUAAGGUUGAUGUCUGUGAAGAUAUUCAUGUCCAACUAUAUCCCUUAGGGUCUCCUUAGGUAACAGAACA